AAACAAAACAAAAAAGAAAGAAAAGAAACAGGAUAGGCAAAUGUGAAACAGGGGAUGGAAAGAAAGAAAGGAGAAAAGAAAGAAAAAAAAAGGAAAAUUGAAGAUUUGAAGCUUUAAAGUUUAAUAGGUUAAGUUAAAGUGAGAAUGUCGAAUCAGCAUCCCAGGCCGAUCCCGAAUUCAACGAGGUAAAGCGUGUUAAUUGUUGAUAAUGGCAUGUACCUAGGGUGUCUUAUGUGUGUCAUUUUGAAUGGUGAAUGUAAAAGUGAAAUAAUUAUAUUUAAAUUUUGGUAAUGGUAUAUAAUAGGACUUGACUAAUUUAGUAUGAAUUUGAUUUAUUUGAUAAUAUUUGAUAAGUAAUUAGAAUUGAGUAUUGGAUAAUAUAUAAAAA
This is a long non-coding RNA of Gossypium arboreum, 388 nucleotides long. RefSeq lists it as uncharacterized. Lineage: Eukaryota; Viridiplantae; Streptophyta; Magnoliopsida; Malvales; Malvaceae. The record is from RefSeq and is a predicted model, not a curated record. The transcript has 2 exons.